CAGAAAAUCUCCGUUGAUUAUCACAGCCUGUAAGCAACGACUAAGGCACGAAUGAAUGGGGAUCCUGGGCUGAGAAACUAAGCCAAGUAGCCGCCACCAAACUCGAGAGCACAUCUCUCCUCUGCACAAGCUUGUUCCAUUGGGUUCUUCUUCCUUUAGAAAGAGUGCUCUCCAAAAGGUUCCUCAGCCCUGCCUGGAAGUCAUAGAGACUUCGGACGGCUCACCCCCACCAACUCAUAUGACAGUGUGUUUCCAUCCUGCCUACCUCGUACUAACAAGAUGGCUGCAGCAGUUCCAGGCAUCCCGUGUCAACAAGAUUAUGUCCAGUGGAGGAGUUUCCCUGACAGAGUCAGGUGGCCUUAUGACCCACUUGUAACCAUGUGAGAAUAUCGUAGAAGUGAUGCCAGAUGACUUCGAAGGCCAUGUUAUAAAAGUUGAUGCUGCUGUCUUGGAAGCUGAAUUACUUACACGGCAGCACUUGAUUGCCAUAUUGUGAGGAAGCUCAACCAGCACCUGUGGAGAGACUGCAUGGACAGGCCAUGAGACUACCUGAGGGAGACACCCAUUAAGACUGCAGCUUCUCUAGCUUCUCUGCUGUUCUAGUUCCAGCCACUGUCUGACUGCAACCAUCUGUGGGGUCCCAGACCAGAAUCUCACCUCCGAGUCCUCCCUGAAUGACCUCAG
Long non-coding RNA from Mustela erminea (ermine), 684 nucleotides. RefSeq lists it as uncharacterized. The transcript is spliced from 4 exons. NCBI's taxonomy places the organism in Eukaryota, Metazoa, Chordata, Mammalia, Carnivora, Mustelidae. The record is from RefSeq and is a predicted model, not a curated record.